GAGUUUGAUCCUGGCUCAGGAUGAACGCUGGCGGCGUGCCUAACACAUGCAAGUCGAACGGAGUUACAGUGAAACCUAGUGAUCUGUAACUUAGUGGCGGACGGGUGAGUAACGCGUGGGUAACCUGCCUUGUACUAGGGGAUAACACCUGGAAACAGGUGCUAAUACCGCAUAAGCGCACAGAGCCGCAUGGCUCAGUGUGAAAAACUCCGGUGGUACAAGAUGGACCCGCGUCUGAUUAGCCAGUUGGGGGGGUAACGGCCCACCAAAGCGACGAUCAGUAGCCGGCCUGAGAGGGUGAACGGCCACAUUGGGACUGAGACACGGCCCAAACUCCUACGGGAGGCAGCAGUGGGGAAUAUUGCACAAUGGGGGAAACCCUGAUGCAGCAACGCCGCGUGAGUGAAGAAGUAAUUCGUUAUGUAAAGCUCUAUCAGCAGGGAAGAAAAUGACGGUACCUGAGUAAGCAGCCCCGGCUAACUACGUGCCAGCAGCCGCGGUAAUACGUAGGGGGCAAGCGUUAUCCGGAUUUACUGGGUGUAAAGGGAGCGUAGACGGUUGUGCAAGUCUGAAGUGAAAUGCCAGUGCUCAACACUGGAACUGCUUUGGAAACUGUGUAACUGGAGUGCAGGAGAGGUAAGUGGAAUUCCUAGUGUAGCGGUGAAAUGCGU
This 671-nucleotide ribosomal RNA is filed under the name uncultured bacterium. Its description in RNAcentral is "bacterial SSU rRNA". It matches the Rfam family "Bacterial small subunit ribosomal RNA", at positions 9 to 691 of the family's 1533-position model. The record is from RNAcentral.